Molecule: ribosomal RNA, 448 nt
Filed under: uncultured bacterium
Lineage: Bacteria
Description: bacterial SSU rRNA
Rfam family: Bacterial small subunit ribosomal RNA
Source: RNAcentral
AUCCAGACUCCUACGGGAGGCAGCAGUGGGGAAUAUUGCACAAUGGGGGAAACCCUGAUGCAGCGACGCCGCGUGAGUGAAGAAGUAUUUCGGUAUGUAAAGCUCUAUCAGCAGGGAAGAAAAUGACGGUACCUGAUUAAGAAGCCCCGGCUAACUACGUGCCAGCAGCCGCGGUAAUACGUAGGGGGCAAGCGUUAUCCGGAUUUACUGGGUGUAAAGGGAGCGUAGACGGUGAUGCAAGUCAGAAGUGAAAGCCCGGGGCUCAACUCCGGGACUGCUUUUGAAACUGUGUGACUGGAGUGCAGGAGAGGUAAGCGGAAUUCCUGGUGUAGCGGUGAAAUGCGUAGAUAUCAGGAGGAACACCAGUGGCGAAGGCGGCUUGCUGGACGAUGACUGACGUUGAGGCUCGAAAGCGUGGGGAGCAAACAGGAUUAGAUACCCGGGUAAU